Molecule: small RNA, 184 nt
Filed under: Massilia sp.
Lineage: Bacteria; Pseudomonadati; Pseudomonadota; Betaproteobacteria; Burkholderiales; Oxalobacteraceae
Description: Manganese sequence
Rfam family: Manganese Mn2+ riboswitch aptamer (yybP-ykoY)
About the family: This RNA was originally discovered in E. coli during a large scale screen and was named SraF. The family was later found to exist upstream of related families of protein genes in many bacteria, including the the yybP and ykoK genes in B. subtilis. The specific functions of these proteins are unknown, but this structured RNA element may be involved in their genetic regulation as a riboswitch.
Source: RNAcentral
UCGCCAUCCAUUGGGGAGUAGCCUGCUUCCGCAUCGCGCGGAAGUUCCCGUAUCAACAUACUCGGCGCCAUCCAUCCGGCGCCGUGGUACGGGCAGCCGUCCGGUUGGCAAGACCUUUGGCAUGCCUGCGUGCGAGUUCGGGCCGCGCGGGCUUGCCUUCGCGUAUGCCCGACGGAACGAUCCC